This 282-nucleotide ribosomal RNA is filed under the name uncultured Staphylococcus sp. Its description in RNAcentral is "partial 16S ribosomal RNA". It matches the Rfam family "Bacterial small subunit ribosomal RNA", at positions 505 to 785 of the family's 1533-position model. The record is from RNAcentral. Lineage: Bacteria; Bacillati; Bacillota; Bacilli; Caryophanales; Staphylococcaceae.
GUGCCAGCAGCCGCGGUAAUACGUAGGUGGCAAGCGUUAUCCGGAAUUAUUGGGCGUAAAGCGCGCGUAGGCGAUUUUUUAAGUCUGAUGUGAAAGCCCACGGCUCAACCGUGGAGGGUCAUUGGAAACUGGAAAACUUGAGUGCAGAAGAGGAAAGUGGAAUUCCAUGUGUAGCGGUGAAAUGCGCAGAGAUAUGGAGGAACACCAGUGGCGAAGGCGACUUUCUNGGUCUGUAACUGACGCUGAUGUGCGAAAGCGUGGGGAUCAAACAGGAUUAGAUAC